UAAUAGUUAAAUUAGAUUUAAAUUAUAUAGGUCAUCUAAUAUUGAUAUGGUUAUGUGAAUUAAGUUAUUAAAGUGAUUCACAGGGAUACCUAGCAAAACAUAUCUUAAAGGAAGUUUAUACUUAAAGUUUAAGUUAAUAAUUUGAAUUCUUAAACAAUCCUAAGGAAAACCAUUAAGAUAAAUUACAUUGGGAAUUAAAACAUUUUAGUACCAAUAGGAAAAGAAAUUUAACAAGACUUCUGGAGUAAUGGUGAAUGAAACAGAACUAGCUUAAUCAUUUUUAAUUUUAAUAAUAUACAAUUAAAUAUUGUGGAAUUCAAUAAAUAUAAUUAAAAAUAUUUUAAUAUUUAAAAUUAUACCAAAGAAGGUGAAAGUCCUGUAAUAGUUAUUAUUAAUAACAAAUUAAUUAUGAUAAUUAAGUAAUAUGAAGACGGCUGCUUUGUAUGAAUUAAUUUUAAGGGAUACCAUUCUCUAAAGCUAAGUAUGAUAUGUUUUAGCGAUAGUGAAGAGUAACGUGAGUGAAAGGUGAAAAGAAAGUUGAUGACUAGUGAAAUAGAUUUUGAAUUGUGAAUCAUAUAAGCAAAAGAUGAAGUUUUCGAGUAGAAAAUUACAAGUUACCUUUUGCAUAAUGGGUCAGUUAGUUAAUAUUAUAUGCAAGAUUUAAUAGUCUUAGAUAAAUCAAUUAAAUUUAUAUUUAUUUAAAAAUAAUAAAUAAUUAAUAAAUUUGAGAAUAGUAUAUAGUAUUAGAUCCGAAACCAGAUGAUCUUUUCAUGAUCAGGUUUGAAAGGACCGAACAGGUUAAUGUUGCAAUAUUAUCUGAAGAAUUGUGAAAAGGGGUGAAAUGCCAAUCUAAUCUGGUGAUAGCUGAUAUUCUGCGAAAUCUAUUUUAGUAGAUUAUUAAUUAUAGAUUUUUAUUUGUAUAGCACUGAAUCUCAUUAAUAUUUAAAUAUUUAUAUUUAAAAAAUUAUUAAUUAGGGGGUAUUAUACUCUACUAUUGAGAUUUAACCUCAGAAGGAUAAAAAUUGAUUAUUAGUAAACAGUCUAUUUGUGAUAAGGUAAAUAGACGAAAGGUAAACAGACCAGACCAUUAAUUAAGGUCCCAAAAUAAUAUUAAGUGAAAUUAAGAAAGUUUUUAGUUUAGUACAAUCAUGAAGUAAGCUUGGAAGUAGCUAUCUUUUAAUGAUAGUGUAACAACUCAAUGAUCUAAUGAUUAAAAGCGUCUAAAAUUUAACGGGUCUAAGAUAUUAUACCUAAAUAAUGGUUAAUUUUAUUAAUUAUAUAUAAUUAAUUAUAAUUAUAAUUAAUUUAAUUAAGGUAGCAGAACACUCAAUUUUAGUGUGAAGAAUAAGAUAACAUUUUAUUUGGACGAAAUUGAAGAGAGAAUGCUGACAUGAGUAACGAAAAGAAGAUAAAAUUCUUCUCACCGAAUACGAAAGGUUUUCAUGAAAAAGGUAAUCUGUCAUGAAUUAUACGGUUUCUAAGGAAAUUAUUAGAAUUAUAAUUUCUGAUGAAGUAAUUAUAUAAAAUUCUUAAUAAAUUUUAAGAACAGGAAAAAUAUAUAAUAUUUUGUAUAAAAAUAACCGUACCUUAAACCGACACAGGUUCGUAGGUAGAGUAUACUAAGGUGAAGAGAUAAGACUAGUGAAGGAACUCGGCAAAAUGCUUCCGUAAGUUCGACGAUAAGGAAGGUCUUGUUAAUAAUAUAUUUAUUUAUAUAAUAAAUUUUAUAUUUAUAAAAUAAUUAUUAAUAGGAUUACAAAAAAGUGAGGGCUUCGACUGUUUACUAAAAACACAGCAACUUGCAAAGACGAAUAGUAUUAGUAUAAGUUGUGAACUCUGUCCAAUGCCAAUCUGUAUAAAGAAGAUAAUGGUUUUUAAUUUUAAAGAUUAAAAAUAAGUUAUUAACUGAUGCAGUGGUCAAUGACGGUCUUAACCAUAAGGAUCUGAAAGUAGCGAAAUUCCUUGGCCAUUAAAUGUGGUCCUGCAUGAAUGAGGUAACGCGGCCCUGCUGUCUCCACUAGUUUCUCAGUGAAAUUGAAAUAGCCGUGCAGAUGCGGUUUACCUUCCGGAGGACGCGAAGACCCUAUGCAGCUUUACUGUAAUUUGAAAUUGUUUUUUAUUUUAUUAAAUGUAGUAUACAAGGGAAUGUAAAUAUCAGUGAAAUACCUUGAUUAAUAUUAAUAAGAAACUAAUUUGAUGAAUAAUAAAUUAUAUUAUAAAAAGUAAUAUAAUAAUAUAAUAAUAUCAAAGACAGUUUCAGAGGGUCAGUUUUACUGGGGCGGUAGCCUUUAAGAAAGUAUCAGAGGCCUUCAAAGGUACAUUAAAAUUGGUCAGAAACCAAUACUAAAAUAAUAGUAUUAUUAUGUAAUAAUAAAAUGUGCUUUACUGAAAAAUUGAUAGAUUAAUCAGUUACGCAAGUAGGAUAUAGUGAUCCGGUGAUCCAUAAUGGAAUGGUCAUCGCUCAAGAAAUAAAAGUUACGCUAGGGAUAACAGGUUUAUCGUUUGCGAGAGUUCAUAUUGUCCAAACGGUUUGACACCUCGAUGUCGACUCUUCUCAUCCUCCAGGGUAGUAGCUUGGAAGGGUUCAGCUGUUCGCUGAUUAAAGAGGAACGUGAGUUGGGUUUAAUACGACGUGAGUCAGUAUAGAUUCUAUCCUCGGAAGGCAAAAUUAAUAAAAUAAGAACCUCUUAUUAGUACGAAAGGACCAUAAGAGAUGAUUCAAUAGUGUAUCUGUUGUUAUAUAUUAGCAUAGCAGAGUAGCCACAAUCAUAAAUAGAUAAGUACUGAAAGCAUCUCAAGUACGAAACAGAUCUUAGUUUUAUUAAUAUAGAAAUAAGAAAUAGAUUAUUUCUAUUGGUUUAUUAAAAAAACCAUAAAAUAGGAUACAAAUGAAUGUUUAGUAUUACUAAAUAAUUGAAUAACUUAAUUCAUCCAU
This 2935-nucleotide ribosomal RNA is filed under the name Malassezia cuniculi. RNAcentral's name for it is "bacterial LSU rRNA". It matches the Rfam family "Bacterial large subunit ribosomal RNA". The record is from RNAcentral. Lineage: Eukaryota; Fungi; Basidiomycota; Malasseziomycetes; Malasseziales; Malasseziaceae.